GGCAGAGAGACUAGAAGUGGAUCCAUUCCAAUUCAGUCACUGACUUCCCUUCAGAGACUGCCUUCAAAUUGGUUCAAGUUACAGUAACAGUUUUCAUGGUAGAAACACAGUUUUGGUGAGAACUGGACUGAAUCUUCCAAGUGUCUGUGACUGUAUAAGGACUGUAUAAAGAUGUUUUUUCCACCUGUGAUGACUGCUCUUGAUUCUUUGUUGCCCCUCUCUGAGUUUUGGUUCUGAGGUGAGAUUGUAAAACGGGUGAAAAGCAUCUCAUGUCCCGACAUGCAAAAGGGCUUUCAAAUAGCCUCUCCACCAGGGACAGGAAUGUCUUCUGUUGUGGUGAAUUGCUAGGCGAUAGCUCUUGCCAUGUAAUGCUGAACAGGAUGCAGCAGGAAAGUCACAUGCACACAAAGUCACCAGCAGCUCAGUCUUGAAACAGCUACAUCAGAGUGCAGAGAAGUCUAUUAGUGCUUUGCUGGAUUUAGUCCCUUCCUGCAGUCUUGUUGCUGUGCGUUUCCUACACCUACCUCAGGGAACACAGGUCAGUUGACAAUUCUGCCUUCUACUCUUCACUCUUAAAGUAAUCACAAUGGAUUUGGUAAUGAACGGUUUAAUGACAGGAUGUAAAAAAUGGAUGAAAAUGUUUAAAGGCUCUGUGAUUUGAGAAGAGUUCAGAACCGACAGAUUUAUGAAGUCAUCAAUGUAUAUCAGGUACCUGAAGCUACAGGUGGCUUUCUACAUUGAGAAAAAGCAAACAUAUUUAGCCUGCCUUUAAAGGAAGAACAGGUACAAAAGUUACUGAUUUUACACAUAGUGAUCUUGAUUCUGUGCUGCAGUUUUGAGUUUCCAGUCUAGAACACAUGCACACAUACACUCCUAUUCUAUACGCAAUGGCAUAUGUUUAACUUUAUAACUUUACUAGUCCCAUUUUUGGCAGUAUUAUCU
RNAcentral lists this long non-coding RNA (942 nucleotides) under Anas platyrhynchos platyrhynchos (common mallard). Its description in RNAcentral is "lncRNA (ENSAPLG00000030633.1)". The record is from RNAcentral. Lineage: Eukaryota; Metazoa; Chordata; Aves; Anseriformes; Anatidae.